This 510-nucleotide ribosomal RNA is filed under the name uncultured bacterium. Its description in RNAcentral is "partial 16S ribosomal RNA". It matches the Rfam family "Bacterial small subunit ribosomal RNA", at positions 28 to 507 of the family's 1533-position model. The record is from RNAcentral.
GACGAACGCUGGCGGCGUGCUUAACACAUGCAAGUCGAACGAAGAGCGAUGGAAGCUUGCUUCUAUCAAUCUUAGUGGCGAACGGGUGAGUAACGCGUAAUCAACCUGCCCUUCAGAGGGGGACAACAGUUGGAAACGACUGCUAAUACCGCAUACGAUCUAAUCUCGGCAUCGAGGAUAGAUGAAAGGUGGCCUCUACAUGUAAGCUAUCACUGAAGGAGGGGAUUGCGUCUGAUUAGCUAGUGGGAGGGGUAACGGCCCACCAAGGCGAUGAUCAGUAGCCGGUCUGAGAGGAUGACCGGCCACAUUGGGACUGAGACACGGCCCAGACUCCUACGGGAGGCAGCAGGGGGGAAUCUUCCGCAAUGGACGAAAGUCUGACGGAGCAACGCCGCGUGAGUGAUGACGGCCUUCGGGUUGUAAAGCUCUGUUAAUCGGGACGAAAGGCCUUCUUGCGAAUAGUGAGAAGGAUUGACGGUACCGGAAUAGAAAGCCACGGCUAACUACGUG